GCAUAUCAAUAAGCGGAGGAAAAGAAACUAACAAGGAUUCCCCUAGUAGCGGCGAAGCGAGCGGGAAGAGCUCAAAUUUGUAAUCUGGCGUCCUCCGGGCGUCCGAGUUGUAAUCUAUAGAGACGUUUUCCGUGCCGGACCGUGUCCAAGUCCCUUGGAACAGGGUAUCAAAGAGGGUGACAAUCCCGUACUUGACACGACGACCGGUGCUCUGUGAUACGUUUUCUACGAGUCGAGUUGUUUGGGAAUGCAGCUCAAAAUGGGUGGUAAAUUCCAUCUAAAAGCUAAAUAUAGGCGAGAGACCGAUAGCGAACAAGUACCGUGAGGGAAAGAUGAAAAGCACUUUGGAAAGAGAGUUAAACAGUAUGUGAAAUUGUUGAAAGGGAAACGAUUGAAGUCAGUCAUGUCCAUUGGAUUCAGCUGGUUCUGCCAGUGUAUUUCCUUUGGACGGGUCAACAUCAGUUUGAGCCGGCGGAUAAUGGCAGAGGGAAUGUGGCACCCCCGGGUGUGUUAUAGCCCUUUGUCGCAUACGUCGGCCCAGACUGAGGAAUGCAGCUCGCCUUUAUGGCCGGGGUUCGCCCACGUACGAGCUUAGGAUGUUGGCAUAAUGGCUUUAAACGACCCGUCUUGAAACACGGACC
This 641-nucleotide ribosomal RNA is filed under the name Saitozyma flava. Its description in RNAcentral is "eukaryotic LSU rRNA". It matches the Rfam family "Eukaryotic large subunit ribosomal RNA", at positions 38 to 667 of the family's 3401-position model. The record is from RNAcentral. Lineage: Eukaryota; Fungi; Basidiomycota; Tremellomycetes; Tremellales; Trimorphomycetaceae.